Molecule: ribosomal RNA, 305 nt
Filed under: uncultured bacterium
Lineage: Bacteria
Description: bacterial SSU rRNA
Rfam family: Bacterial small subunit ribosomal RNA
Source: RNAcentral
CCUACGGGGGGCAGCAGUGGGGAAUAUUGCACAAUGGGGGAAACCCUGAUGCAGCGACGCCGCGUGAGUGAAGAAGCGCCUCGGCGCGUAAAGCUCUGUCAGCAGGAACGAUAAUGACGGUACCUGAAGAAGAAGCCCCGGCUAACUACGUGCCAGCAGCCGCGGUAAUACGUAGGGGGCAAGCGUUAUCCGGAUUUACUGGGUGUAAAGGGAGCGUAGACGGCGGGGCAAGUCUGGAGUGAAAGGCCGGGGCCCAACCCCGGGACCGCUCUGGAAACUGCCCGGCUGGAGUGCGGGAGAGGUAA